Oryctolagus cuniculus (rabbit) is the source of this 391-nucleotide long non-coding RNA. RefSeq lists it as uncharacterized. Lineage: Eukaryota; Metazoa; Chordata; Mammalia; Lagomorpha; Leporidae. The record is from RefSeq and is a predicted model, not a curated record.
GCAGACAGCCCUCCUUCCCCUAUCCAGCAAAACGCAACUCGUCUAAUGCAGCAACAGGUUCAGUGCUGCCAGACUAACAAAGUGACAAAGCUACCUGAUAAUGCAGAUCUUGGGAGCACUGGUGAUGACUGAAGUAGUUGGGACCCUGCCACUCAUGUGGGAAACCAGAACUGAAUUCCUACCUCACAGCUUUGGCUCCAGCUCCGGCCCUUUGCAGGCAUUUGGGGAGUGAACCAGCAAAUGGAGGUGAUCUCUCGCAAACUUGUAAAAGUGCGUGAAAGACCUUAACAUGAACAUCACCAAAUACACAGAGAUGACACUGAGCAUACAGAAGAUGAUGUAUAUCAUAUGUCAUCAUGCAAAUAUAAAUUAAAAUCAUGAGAUACCACUA